Molecule: ribosomal RNA, 410 nt
Filed under: Paracallisoma aff. alberti I18_Ma_92
Lineage: Eukaryota; Metazoa; Arthropoda; Malacostraca; Amphipoda; Scopelocheiridae
Also listed under: 2 other names
Description: partial 16S ribosomal RNA
Rfam family: Bacterial large subunit ribosomal RNA
Source: RNAcentral
UAGCAUAAUCAUUUGUUUUUUAAUUAAAAACUGGAAUGAAAGGUUUAACAAAAUAGGUUGUCUUUUUUAUAAAAAUAUAAAUUGUAUUUUAAGUAAAAAUACUUAAGUAGAAUUGAGGGACGAUAAGACCCUAAAAGCUUUAUUAAAGUUAGAGGGGUUCAGAGAAAAAAAGAUAAAAUUUAGCUGGGGUAGUUUUUUUAUAAAAACUGAGGUUUUAAUUUACAAGAAAUGGACAAGGGUCCUUUAAAUAAGGAUAAAUUAAGUAAGUUACUUUAGGGAUAACAGCGUAAUAAUUUUAAGGAGUCCAAAUCUAUAAAAUUGUUUGCGACCUCGAUGUUGAAUUAAAAAAAUCACAUAGAGCAACCACUAUAGUGAUGGGUUUGUUCAACCUUUAUAGUUUUACAUGAUUU